CAGUAGGGAAUCUUCGGCAAUGGGGGCAACCCCUGACCGAGCAACGCCGCGUGAGUGAAGAAGGUUUUCGGAUCGUAAAGCUCUGUUGUAAGAGAAGAACGUGUGUGAGAGUGGAAAGUUCACACAGUGACGGUAACUUACCAGAAAGGGACGGCUAACUACGUGCCAG
This 169-nucleotide ribosomal RNA is filed under the name uncultured bacterium. Its description in RNAcentral is "partial 16S rRNA". It matches the Rfam family "Bacterial small subunit ribosomal RNA", at positions 352 to 511 of the family's 1533-position model. The record is from RNAcentral.